UACGGGGGGGGUAAGCGUUGUUCGGAUUCACUGGGCUUAAAGGGCGCGUAGGCGGCUUGCCAAGUCAGGGGUGAAAUCCUCCGGCUUAACCGGAGAAGUGCUUUUGAUACUGGCGAGCUUGAGGGAGGUAGGGGCAGGCGGAACUUCCGGUGGAGCGGUGAAAUGCGUAGAUAUCGGAAGGAACGCCGGUGGCGAAAGCGGCCUGCUGGACCUCUUCUGACGCUGAUGCGCGAAAGCCAGGGGAGCGAACGGG
Molecule: ribosomal RNA, 253 nt
Filed under: uncultured bacterium
Lineage: Bacteria
Description: partial 16S ribosomal RNA
Rfam family: Bacterial small subunit ribosomal RNA
Source: RNAcentral